GACGAACGCUGGCGGCGUGCUUAACACAUGCAAGUCGAACGGAAAGGCCUUUUCGGAGGUACUCGAGUGGCACACGGGUGCGUAACACGUGGGUGAUCUGCCCUGCACACUGGGAUAAGCCUGGGAAACUGGGUCUAAUACCGGAUAGGACCGCACUUUAGUGCGUGUGGUGGAAAGUUUUUUCGGUGUAGGGUGAGCCCGCGGCCUAUCAGCUUGUUGGGGGGGUAAUGGCCUACCAAGGCGGCGGCGGGUAGCCGGACAGAGGUGUUGGUCGGCGACAUUGGGACUGAGGUGCGGCCCAGACGCCGACGGGUGGCAGAAGGGGGGAAGAUUGCACCAGGGGCGCCGGCCUGGUGAAGCGACGCCGCGUGGUGGAUGACGGCUUUCGGGUUGUAGAAUCCUUUCGCCAGGGACGAAGCGUUUUGUGACGGUACCUGGAGAAGAAGCACCGGCUAACUACGUG
RNAcentral lists this ribosomal RNA (463 nucleotides) under uncultured bacterium. RNAcentral describes it as "partial 16S ribosomal RNA". It matches the Rfam family "Bacterial small subunit ribosomal RNA", at positions 28 to 507 of the family's 1533-position model. The record is from RNAcentral.